AGAGUUUGAUCCUGGCUCAGGACGAACGCUGGCGGCGUGCCUAACACAUGCAAGUCGAGCGAUGAAGCCCUUCGGGGUGGAUUAGCGGCGGACGGGUGAGUAACACGUGGGUAACCUGCCUUAUAGAGGGGGAUAGCCUUCCGAAAGGAAGAUUAAUACCGCAUAACAUGUUUGUAUCGCAUGGUAUAAACAUCAAAGGAGCAAUCCGCUAUAAGAUGGACCCGCGGCGCAUUAGCUAGUUGGAGAGGUAACGGCUCACCAAGGCGACGAUGCGUAGCCGACCUGAGAGGGUGAUCGGCCACAUUGGAACUGAGACACGGUCCAGACUCCUACGGGAGGCAGCAGUGGGGAAUAUUGCGCAAUGGGGGAAACCCUGACGCAGCAACGCCGCGUGAAUGAAGAAGGCCUUAGGGUUGUAAAGUUCUGUUUUCUGGGACGAUAAUGACGGUACCAGAGGAGGAAGCCACGGCUAACUACGUGC
This 481-nucleotide ribosomal RNA is filed under the name Clostridium beijerinckii. RNAcentral describes it as "bacterial SSU rRNA". It matches the Rfam family "Bacterial small subunit ribosomal RNA", at positions 8 to 508 of the family's 1533-position model. The record is from RNAcentral. Lineage: Bacteria; Bacillati; Bacillota; Clostridia; Eubacteriales; Clostridiaceae.